Non-coding RNA from Lactuca sativa (garden lettuce), 2525 nucleotides. The record is from RefSeq and is a predicted model, not a curated record. NCBI's taxonomy places the organism in Eukaryota, Viridiplantae, Streptophyta, Magnoliopsida, Asterales, Asteraceae.
CAAUAAUAUCAUUUCAUCCAUUUCUCUUUGACAUCACAGUUUCUCUCAAUCCAAUACCCAUAAACCCUAAUCAGAGAGUUGUCGUCACUGCUUUCAUCCUCAUUUCUCCCACACAAGCAUCGCAUUCGACCUCCAUCUCCACCGUCUCUCUUCAAUCACACCGAUUUUCCGACAACGAACCCCCACCAUAAUCCAUACUUGCCUCUCUCUCUAACUUUAUUUACGAUCCAACCCCACCACCACUCAUCGUUACAAGCAUCGCAAUCGAUGCUUCCCUCACAUCCACCACUAACUGAUGGCCAUGCUCCAAAUCUAUCAUCAGUGACAUGUCCCCUUCAACCAACCCUAACCAAAUAUUUAUCCUUCCUCCAUCUCCGCCCUCCUAUCUACAAUUUCAGGGGAGAUGCAGUCCGCACUUGGGGCUGCUACAGAUGAUGUUGUACUUUCUUUUUUGACAUGAGGAUGUUUUCUUGAUUUCCUUUAAUGACGCGUGUGGAAUUUCCCCUAAAGCUUAUCAUCCUUCUUUUGUUAUCUGGGAUGACACACUCUUUCAAUUUGCUGGUAUCUUUUUCAAGAUUCAAGCUAUAUAUUAAAAAAGUGAACGAUUAGUUUGUAUCUUUUUUUGCAAUAUUCAACCUACAACCUUUGGAAAUCGAUGGUAUGUUUGUUUUUUAAGGUACAUCUAAUUGUUUUAAAAUAGAAAAGUGAAAUUUACAUUGUUAUUAGUUUUAAUUUUAAUAUGAUAUAUAAUAUUUUUAAUUGCAUUUGGUUCAUCAGGUCUGUUUAUCUACUUAUGGUUCUUGAUUUUUAGUUAGAUGAACUAUCAAUUAUGGAACUUAAAGCAAUGUUGAAGGGUUGACCUGAUAUUGUUUAUUAUGGGUAAAAGGAAGUUAAUAAAAAUAUACUUGAAAAUAUCAAAAAAUUUGUCUUUAUGACAAUUAAGUGAAUUUUUUGAAGUAGAUUUAUAGAAGGCCAUUGUCGUGUCGUCGAUUACUGCAACAAAUGAUUUUGUUCAAAAGAAACAUGGAUAAACAUAUUCACCUUCAAUUUUCUUCCAUGUCUCGCUUCCAAAACAAAUUCCAACCAAGAAAUAAGAAUCAGAUAUCUAAUGUAGAAGAGCAAUUAGAUAUCGAUUCUAUGUGAAUAGUAAAGUUUCAAAAAUAGAGAAAAAAAUAAAAACAGGUAUGUUUCAAAGGCAAAUUGUUGCUACAUAAUCAGGUAAUGCAUGUGAUUUUGUAGAUUUUAUGGUAAAACAUGUGAUUUUGUGGUAUGAUCGACGAGAAAAUCUCUAUUUUAGGCAAAACUAUGGUCAUGGAAUGUGUAUGAUUAGUAAUUGUAGUCAUUAUUUAUGUAAUUUCUUUGUUUUUUACUUUGUUAUUUGUAACAUACAUAAUUGUAUCUUUUUGUUGGCCUUGAUCUAUGAUCAUCACUAAUUAGACGGGGCUGUUGAAACGAGUUUUGAUGAGGUUCAUAAUGUUUUGAAAUUGCAGGAUACAAAAGCUUGACUAAAUAUUCAGUUGAAAAUAUACAUAAAGUCAAAGGACCACAAGUUCCAAGGACCGCUUUCCUUAUAAAAUGAAUCGUGGUUGAGAAUUCUGGAUACUUUUGUCACUGACAGGUUUUAAUCUGUUUCAUGCAAUGGAAUUUUAAUAUUACAGUAUUAUGGUAAUUUCAUUUGGUGCUUUGUGUAUGAUUUUAGUUUAGAUGAUUAAUGCAGAAUUAUAUUAUUUCAUUUAUGGUCGGCCAAUACAUAUCCAAUACAUAUGAUGUAAGGUGCAUUCAUUACAAAGAGAAUCAUCAGGCUUGUUCACUGAUUUUUCAUAAUUUAUAUUUUCUCAACUUUUUUUUUAAUUUUUUUUAUUUUGAAUUUCAAUAUUUUGUGUUUUAAAGGACAUUGAUGGUGGUGGUGCCGCCUGCACCCUUUAACCAUCCACUGCCAUGGAUGUCAUCACCGAAAUCAUAUUGUGCCGCCUUCAACUACUUUCCAGGUAUUGUCCCUUUCUUUUGGAUUUUCAUUUUCUAAUUCUUUUCUCUCCCUUAAUUUUUCCAUGGUAAUUACUUGGCUCCCUUCACUAUAUCUGAGAAUUUUCGUCUCUAAUUCCAUAUUCCAAUUUUAGAUACACGAUUCUAACCAGAAAUCUGUCAAUGAACCAUUGGUAACAGUAUGGAUCUAUGUUCUUUAGCUGCAAUUUUCAUAUGUUUUAAUAUCAUUUUGAAAGCCUUUAUUGAUAUUUGUAUAGCGGUUAGACAUGUGUUUAUAAACAUUUUUGUUGUUAUUAGGAGACAGGUUUGGGAUAAUCAAACUCAAUGUGUGCAAACAUACACAAAGGUAAGUUAUAUAGUUUUUUAAUCUUUCAAUGGGACUAUAUGUGGGAAUUCAUGAAAGGGUAAUAUAGAAAAAUUCAGCUUAGUUCUUUAACAUGUAAAAGUUGUAUCAGCUGCUACAGAUUGGACUUUUUUGUUGUUUUUAUUCACCUUUUUGAAGUUUUCUUAAGUAUUUGGCUGGUUUUAAAUUGUGGCAAAAA